RNAcentral lists this ribosomal RNA (301 nucleotides) under uncultured bacterium. RNAcentral's name for it is "partial 16S ribosomal RNA". It matches the Rfam family "Bacterial small subunit ribosomal RNA", at positions 509 to 807 of the family's 1533-position model. The record is from RNAcentral.
CAGUAGCCGCGGUAAUACGUAGGUGGCAAGCGUUGUCCGGAAUUAUUGGGCGUAUAGGGCUCGCAGGCGGUUUCUUAAGUCUGAUGUGAAAGCCCCCGGCUCAACCGGGGGGGGUCAUUGGAAACUGGGAAACUUGAGUGCAGAAGAGGAGAGUGGAAUUCCACGUGUAGCGGUGAAAUGCGUAGAGAUGUGGAGGAACACCAGUGGCGAAGGCGACUCUCUGGUCUGUAACUGACGCUGAGGAGCGAAAGCGUGGGGAGCGAACAGGAUUAGAUACCCCAGUAGUCCCUGUCUCUUAUAC